GAGGUUGUGGCUCAGUGGUAGAGCGCUCACCUAGCAUGCCAUGAGACCCUGGGUUCGAUCCUCAGCACCACA
RNAcentral lists this transfer RNA (72 nucleotides) under Marmota monax (woodchuck). Its description in RNAcentral is "tRNA.Ala". The record is from RNAcentral. Lineage: Eukaryota; Metazoa; Chordata; Mammalia; Rodentia; Sciuridae.